GACGAACGCUGGCGGCGUGCCUAAUACAUGCAAGUUGAGCGAUGAAGAUAGGUGCUUGCACCAAUUUGAAGAGCAGCGAACGGGUGAGUAACGCGUGGGGAAUCUGCCUUUGAGCGGGGGACAACAUUUGGAAACGAAUGCUAAUACCGCAUAACAACUUUAAACAUAAGUUUUAAGUUUGAAAGAUGCAAUUGCAUCACUCAAAGAUGAUCCCGCGUUGUAUUAGCUAGUUGGUGAGGUAAAGGCUCACCAAGGCGAUGAUACAUAGCCGACCUGAGAGGGUGAUCGGCCACAUUGGGACUGAGACACGGCCCAAACUCCUACGGGAGGCAGCAGUAGGGAAUCUUCGGCAAUGGACGAAAGUCUGACCGAGCAACGCCGCGUGAGUGAAGAAGGUUUUCGGAUCGUAAAACUCUGUUGGUAGAGAAGAACGUUGGUGAGAGUGGAAAGCUCAUCAAGUGACGGUAACUACCCAGAAAGGGACGGCUAACUACGUG
Molecule: ribosomal RNA, 497 nt
Filed under: uncultured bacterium
Lineage: Bacteria
Description: partial 16S ribosomal RNA
Rfam family: Bacterial small subunit ribosomal RNA
Source: RNAcentral